This 408-nucleotide ribosomal RNA is filed under the name uncultured bacterium. Its description in RNAcentral is "partial 16S ribosomal RNA". It matches the Rfam family "Bacterial small subunit ribosomal RNA", at positions 29 to 526 of the family's 1533-position model. The record is from RNAcentral.
AGUGAACGCUGGCGGCGUGCCUAAUACAUGCAAGUCGAACGGAGUGGCGCACGGGUGAGUAAUAUAUAGCAAAUCUGCCCCUUGCUGGCGGUCACCAGUUAGAAAUGACUGGUAACACUCCAUAUCAAGGGAUGGGGCUAUAUCGUAUCAGCUAGACGGUGGGGUAACGGCCUACCGAGGCUAUGACCCGUAACUGGUCUGAGGGGAUGAUCAGCAACAUUGGAACUGAGACACGAGCCGAGAUCCUUCGGGAAUGAGCGGAAGGGAGACUUGCCCAAGCGGCGAGACUGUAGCACGGCAUCGCCUCGUAGAGGAUGACACUUUUCGAAGCAUAAACUCCUUUUGAUAGGGAAGCGGUACCUAACGAAUAAGCACCGGCUAACUCCGUGCCAGCAGCCGCGGUAAUAC